CCAGCCUCACCCAGACUCUGCCUCCAGUGGCCCCCAGACUCCACGAUCUGUUAACACCAUUGAAUGACGAAGAUCUUGAUGAGAAAAUGACACAAAUUCUGCAACACCAGCCAAACUGUGGAUACAAAAUGAUGCUUCGGCACCUGAACUCACAGGGCAUCCACAUACAGAGAUUCCAUGCGGCGUGUGGAUCCUCGUGGAGUUUUGAUGCGGACCCUUCAGCUGAAUCCACGGAGACGGAGGAGGUACUCUGUGCCAGAACCAAACAGUUUGUGGCACAUAGAUGGCAAUCACAAACUGAUAAGGU
Long non-coding RNA from Girardinichthys multiradiatus, 307 nucleotides. RefSeq lists it as uncharacterized. The transcript is spliced from 3 exons. Lineage: Eukaryota; Metazoa; Chordata; Actinopteri; Cyprinodontiformes; Goodeidae. The record is from RefSeq and is a predicted model, not a curated record.